Erinaceus europaeus (western European hedgehog) is the source of this 106-nucleotide non-coding RNA. The record is from Rfam. NCBI's taxonomy places the organism in Eukaryota, Metazoa, Chordata, Mammalia, Eulipotyphla, Erinaceidae.
GUGUUCACUUUGGCAACACAUAUACUAAAACUGGAAAGAUAUAGAAAAGAUAGCAUGACCUCAGUGCAAGGAUGACGUGCAAAUUCGUGAAGCGUUUUAUAUUUAA